This is a long non-coding RNA of Balaenoptera musculus (blue whale), 264 nucleotides long. RefSeq lists it as uncharacterized. NCBI's taxonomy places the organism in Eukaryota, Metazoa, Chordata, Mammalia, Artiodactyla, Balaenopteridae. The transcript has 3 exons. The record is from RefSeq and is a predicted model, not a curated record.
CCUCCCACCUCCCACAUUCAUAACCAUAAGUAUGUUUUCUACAAUCUGUGACUCAAUUUCUGUUUUGUAAAUAGGUUCAUUUGUACCAUUUUUUUAGAUUCCACAUAUAAGAAAUAUCAUAUGAUAUUUGUCUUUCUCUGUCUGACUUACUUCACUCAGUAUGACAAUAACUAGGUCCAUCAAUGUCACUGUAAGUGGCAUUAUUUCAUUCUUUUUUAUGGCUGAAUAAUAUUCCAUUGUAUAUAUACUUAUAUGUGUAUGUGU